GGUUGGAAUAAGGAGGAGCAGUUGAGGUCUGUUUCUAUUAUGGUAAUGGAAAAACUACCAGAAGACAAUUACCAGGUUUUGAAAUAUAUCAUCAAAUUUUUAUCCAGGGUCAUGGAAAGAUCCGACUUGAACAAAAUGAACGCACAAAAUUUGGCUGUGGUCUUUGGUCCAAAUUUAGUGUGGUCUGAAGUUGUGUCUAUGUCCCUAGCUGCCAUAGGUCCAAUAAACUCAUUUACCCAGUUUUUACUCUUGCAUUUUAAUGAGAUCUUCAUGAUUUGAAGUUAGUUUUUGCGUUUUUGUCAUAUGAUAUUUGGUAAUUGUAAUAAAAAUUAGUUGAAAAGUCAUGAUAGAG
RNAcentral lists this unclassified non-coding RNA (352 nucleotides) under Leptinotarsa decemlineata (Colorado potato beetle). Its description in RNAcentral is "rho GTPase-activating protein 68F-like, transcript variant X1". The record is from RNAcentral. Lineage: Eukaryota; Metazoa; Arthropoda; Insecta; Coleoptera; Chrysomelidae.